This 496-nucleotide ribosomal RNA is filed under the name uncultured bacterium. RNAcentral describes it as "partial 16S ribosomal RNA". It matches the Rfam family "Bacterial small subunit ribosomal RNA", at positions 28 to 507 of the family's 1533-position model. The record is from RNAcentral.
GAUGAACGCUGGCGGCGUGCCUAAUACAUGCAAGUCGAGCGAACGGACGAGAAGCUUGCUUCUCUGAUGUUAGCGGCGGACGGGUGAGUAACACGUGGAUAACCUACCUAUAAGUCUGGGAUACUUCGGGAAACCGGAGCUAAUCCCGGAUAAUAUUUUUAACCGCUUGGUUCGAAAGUAAAAUACGGUCUUGCUGUCACUUAUAGAUGGAUCCUCGCUGCAUUAGCUAGUUGGUAAGUUAACGGCUUAGCAAGGCAACGAUGCAUAGCCGACCUGAGAGGGGGAUAGGCGACAUGGGAAGGGGACCAGCGUCAAGACGACUACGAGAGGGAGCAGAAGGGAACCUGAGGCAGUGGGCGAAAGCAUGACGGAGCAACGCCGCGUGAGUGAUGAAGGUCUUGGGAGCGUAAAACCCGGUUAUUAGUGAAGAACAUAUGUGUAAGUAAAUGAGCACAUCUUGACGGUACCUAAUAAGAAAGCCACGGCUAACUACGUG